Molecule: long non-coding RNA, 213 nt
Organism: Ipomoea triloba (trilobed morning glory)
Lineage: Eukaryota; Viridiplantae; Streptophyta; Magnoliopsida; Solanales; Convolvulaceae
Exons: 3
Source: RefSeq, a predicted model, not a curated record
CAAGAGUUAUGGCAGAAAGAAGAUAAGGGAGUGAUUGCGAUUCUCCUUGUUCAGGAUUCUGCAGAGACUAGUACUGUGGAUCCUGCUUUGUCUCUAGGCAUGGGAACUGAUUUUGUAGAGUAUACCUUGAAAAAUCAAGCUAGCAUAUCAGAUUUAACAAACAUGAUGGAAAAAGUCUACAACAAGUUCACUGGCAUAAGUGGGUAGUUGCUG